Molecule: long non-coding RNA, 1049 nt
Filed under: Homo sapiens (human)
Lineage: Eukaryota; Metazoa; Chordata; Mammalia; Primates; Hominidae
Description: HSALNT0288605
Source: RNAcentral
CAGGGAUCUAGCAUCCCACUUUUUUUUUUUUUUUUUUUUUUUUUUUGAGACUGAGUCUUGCUGUGUCUCCAGGAUGGAGUGCAGUGUCUGGAUCUUGGCUCACUGCCAUCUCCACCUCCCAUGUUCAAGAAAUUCUCCCUCCUCAGCCUCCCAAGUAGCUGGUGUGGGAUAUGAUAAGGUUUCUCUUCAAAUAACUUGAUCAAUCUUUUAUUCUUUAACUCAUAGUACCCCUAGUACCUCCCCUCUUUUUUUUUCCUUUUUCUCCUUUUUUCCUUUUUGCCUUUGUUAGAUGCCCAGGCACACCACAGUACCAGGCGUUAUCAGUACCAGCUUACAUUCCUUUCCUUAUUUGGAAAGAGGACUAACUUUCUAGCUCAUUACAGACACCCCUUCCCCUUUCGUUUCUGCUUUCUUUUAUGUGCCCCCUUUAUAAAAAAAAAAAAAAUCAAAUAUGUAGCCAACCAGGGUUAGUUUAGAUUGUAUGAACAGACCCCAGCCAAUCGGGAAAGGGUACAGAGGCAGGACUUGCAUCAGGAAUAAAGGCUCUCUUGUGCCCCUUUGUUCAGGUGUGCUCUCAAGGCGACUGGCCAAGGAGGCACACCCCUCUGCACAGAAGUAAAAUUGCUUUGCUAAGAAUCGUUUUUUCAAGUGUUCCAUUUCCUUAGGAUUUUGACUGUUAUUCCUAACACUUCUGGCACCCAACUUUGGGGCUCCAAUAUUCUCCUUAGGUACGGGGGCCUUCGGUUACCCUUCCCAAGGGAGACGCAUCCUACUGUCUCGUUAGGGUGGCCCUAGGGUGAAGGAGAUCAGGCCCACCUGUGGUAAUGAAUAAAUCUGGAUUCGCAGCAAAGCGGGGAGGAGAGGCUUGCAAUACCGUGGCAAUAAGAGGACCAGUUCUCCUUUAACCUUUAGACUCUGGAGGGAGAAAGUCAGAAGCCAACUCUUUUAAAAGGGAAACAGUUCCCAUAGCUAGACAACCCACAACUACUAACUAACAUGUGGGAUCCUUUAAAUCAUCUUCCUUCAUUCAGCGCCCCCUAACCCGCCAG